RNAcentral lists this ribosomal RNA (411 nucleotides) under Bacteroidota bacterium. RNAcentral's name for it is "Bacteroidetes bacterium partial 16S ribosomal RNA". It matches the Rfam family "Bacterial small subunit ribosomal RNA", at positions 355 to 776 of the family's 1533-position model. Lineage: Bacteria; Pseudomonadati; Bacteroidota. The record is from RNAcentral.
UGGGGAAUAUUGCGCAAUGGGGGAAACCCUGACGCAGCGACGCCGCGUGCGGGAUGAAGGCCUUCGGGUUGUAAACCGCUUUUGAUUGGGAGCAAGCUUUCGGGUGAGUGUACCUUUCGAAUAAGCGCCGGCUAACUACGUGCCAGCAGCCGCGGUAAUACGUAGGGCGCAAGCGUUAUCCGGAAUUAUUGGGCGUAAAGAGCUUGUAGGCGGUUCGUCGCGUCUGGUGUGAAAGCCCCCGGCUCAACCGGGGAGGGUCAUUGGAAACUGGUUGACUUGAGUGCAGAAGAGGAGAGUGGAAUUCCAUGUGUAGCGGUGAGAUGCGUAGAUAUAUGGAGGAACACCAGUGGCGAAGGCGACUCUCUGGUCUGUAACUGACGCUGAGGCUCGAAAGCGUGGGUAGCAAACAGG